This 465-nucleotide ribosomal RNA is filed under the name uncultured bacterium. Its description in RNAcentral is "partial 16S ribosomal RNA". It matches the Rfam family "Bacterial small subunit ribosomal RNA", at positions 28 to 507 of the family's 1533-position model. The record is from RNAcentral.
GACGAACGCUGGCGGCGUGCUUAACACAUGCAAGUCGAACGGAAAGGCCCCUUUGGGGGUCCUCGAGUGGCGAACGGGUGCGUAACACGGGGGUAACCUGCCCUUGACUUCGGGAUAACUUCAGGAAACUGGGGCUAAUACCGGAUAGGAAUCCUUGCUGCAUGGUGGGGGUUGGAAAGCUUCGGGGGUGUUGGAUGGACUCGCGGCCUAUCAGCUUGUUGGUGGGAUAGUGGCUUACCAAGGCUUUGACGGGUAGCCGGCCUGAGAGUGCGACCGGCGACCUUGAGACUGAGAUGAGGCACAGACUCCUACGGUAGGAAGCAGGGGGGAAGAUUGCACCAUGGGCGGAGGCCUGAUGCAGCAACGCCGCGUGCGGGAUGACGGCCUUCUGGUGGUAAAACGGUUUCAGCAGGAGCGACGCUUGUGGUGACGGUACCUGCAGAAGAAGCACCGGCUAACUACGUG